CCUACGGGAGGCAGCAGUAGGGAAUCUUGCGCAAUGGGCGAAAGCCUGACGCAGCAACGCCGCGUGGGGGAUGAAUGCCUUCGGGUUGUAAACCCCUUUCAGCAGGGACGAAAAUGACGGUACCUGCAGAAGAAGCUCCGGCCAACUACGUGCCAGCAGCCGCGGUAAUACGUAGGGAGCGAGCGUUGUCCGGAAUUAUUGGGCGUAAAGAGCUCGUAGGCGGUUCAGUAAGUCGGGUGUGAAAACUCAAGGCUCAACCUUGAGACGCCACUCGAUACUGCUGUGACUUGAGUCCGGUAGAGGAGUGUGGAAUUCCUGGUGUAGCGGUGAAAUGCGCAGAUAUCAGGAGGAACACCAGCGGCGAAGGCGGCACUCUGGGCCGGUACUGACGCUGAGGAGCGAAAGCAUGGGGAGCAAACAGGAUUAGAUACCCUGGUAGUCCAUGCCGUAAACGUUGGGCACUAGGUAUGGGAUCAUAUCAACGGAUUCCGUGCCGUAGCUAACGCAUUAAGUGCCCCGCCUGGGGAGUACGGCCGCAAGGCUAAAACUCAAAGGAAUUGAC
RNAcentral lists this ribosomal RNA (562 nucleotides) under uncultured Acidimicrobiales bacterium. Its description in RNAcentral is "bacterial SSU rRNA". It matches the Rfam family "Bacterial small subunit ribosomal RNA", at positions 338 to 914 of the family's 1533-position model. The record is from RNAcentral. Lineage: Bacteria; Bacillati; Actinomycetota; Acidimicrobiia; Acidimicrobiales.